RNAcentral lists this ribosomal RNA (470 nucleotides) under uncultured bacterium. RNAcentral describes it as "bacterial SSU rRNA". It matches the Rfam family "Bacterial small subunit ribosomal RNA", at positions 28 to 492 of the family's 1533-position model. The record is from RNAcentral.
GAUGAACGCUAGCGGCAGGCUUAAUACAUGCAAGUCGAGGGGCAGCAGGACUGUAGCAAUACAGUUGCUGGCGACCGGCAAACGGGUGCGGAACACGUACGCAACCUUCCUUUAAGUGAGGAAUAGCCCAGGGAAACUUGGAUUAAUACCUCGUAAUAUUUAAGAGUGGCAUCACUCUUUAAUUAUAGCUCAGGCGCUUAAAGAUGGGCGUGCGACUGAUUAGAUAGUUGGCGGGGUAACGGCCCACCAAGUCUGCGAUCAGUAACUGGUGUGAGAGCACGACCAGUCACACGGGCACUGAGACACGGGCCCGACUCCUACGGGAGCAGCAGUAAGGAUAUUGGUCAAUGGACGCAAGUCUAAACCAGCCAUGCCGCGUGGAGGAUGAAGGUCCUCUGGAUUGUAAACUUCUUUUAUCUGGGAAAAACCCAUAUUUUCUAGUGUGGUUGACGGUACCAGAUGAAUAAGCA